This 526-nucleotide ribosomal RNA is filed under the name Falsiroseomonas stagni. RNAcentral describes it as "bacterial SSU rRNA". It matches the Rfam family "Bacterial small subunit ribosomal RNA", at positions 60 to 633 of the family's 1533-position model. The record is from RNAcentral. Lineage: Bacteria; Pseudomonadati; Pseudomonadota; Alphaproteobacteria; Acetobacterales; Roseomonadaceae.
AGUCGCACGGGCAGCAAUGGCAGUGGCGGACGGUGAGGAACGCGUAGGGAUGUGUCCAGGGGUGGGGGAUAACGUUGGGAAACUGACGCUAAUACCGCAUGUGUGCUGAGGCACAAAGCCGUAAGGCGCCUUUGGAGCAACCUGCGUCCGAUUAGGUAGUUGGUGGGGUAAUGGCUUACCAAGCCUGCGAUCGGUAGCUGGUCUGAGAGGACGACCAGCCACACUGGGACUGAGACACGGCCCAGACUCCUACGGGAGGCAGCAGUGGGGAAUAUUGGACAAUGGGCGCAAGCCUGAUCCAGCAAUGCCGCGUGGAUGAAGAAGGUCUUCGGAUUGUAAAGUCCUUUCGACGGGGACGAUGAUGACGGUACCCGUAGAAGAAGCCCCGGCUAACUUCGUGCCAGCAGCCGCGGUAAUACGAAGGGGGCUAGCGUUACUCGGAAUUACUGGGCGUAAAGGGCGCGUAGGCGGCUCUGUAAGUCAGGCGUGAAAUUCCUGGGCUCAACCUGGGGGCUGCGCUUGAGAC